GCCCGUUUAGCGCAGUGGUAGCGCAGCAGACUUCGAAUCUGAAGGUCGUGGGUUCGACCCCCGCAAUGGGCU
This is a non-coding RNA of Schistocerca gregaria, 72 nucleotides long. NCBI's taxonomy places the organism in Eukaryota, Metazoa, Arthropoda, Insecta, Orthoptera, Acrididae. The record is from the annotation of a RefSeq genome assembly.